RNAcentral lists this long non-coding RNA (2127 nucleotides) under Homo sapiens (human). Its description in RNAcentral is "non-protein coding lnc-CEP41-2:1". Lineage: Eukaryota; Metazoa; Chordata; Mammalia; Primates; Hominidae. The record is from RNAcentral.
CAUUUGGCUCUUCCUGUUUCUAGGGGUUAUCUGCCUUCCUGAGGGCAGAGCAAACAGCCCUGCUAUCCCUGCUGCAUAGUACAGCCUGCCAGUCCCAUCAUUUCCCAGAAGGCAGCAGACAGAAUGAAGAGGCAAAAGGGGAAGUGCCUACUUAACACAGCUCAGGGAUGACAACCAGGAUGGUGUCGCUGAUGAUGAUGAUGAGAAGCUCUUCUUCCUGGAUAUGCGGUGCUUUGAUGUGCUGGCUCUGACUAGCUCUGACCCUGUGUUCCCAAGACCCAGGGAGCCUUUGAGGACACCUCGGGGGGAGCAGGUCAUAAGCCAAUGACUCAUUCGUGUUGGGUUGUGGGGUGAGUGGUAACCUCCAAAAUGUGCUCCUGCUCCCUCCCUGCAUGGGAAGUGAAGCCAACCGAGGCAGAGGUGGCCUGUCUGGGCCAACCUUUCCCUCAAGGUGGCAGAAAUGCCCCCAUCAGAAAUGCUCUUUUAGAGCAAACAUUGUCCCCUCCAGGAGCAUCUUAAAAUGUAAAUAUGCUGGGACAAUGUGUGCCUUCUGUGUUCCGGGCCCUGAAAACACUGCAAGAGGAGAAAAGCUACAGCCUCUACCCCCUUAUUUUCCUGAAGGUAGACUGGAGAGUGCAGAGGCUUCCCCCACAUUUCAGGCUCCCCUGCGGAAUGAGAAGCAGCCUCUCGUCCCCUUGUCAGUGCUGAGCCCAUAGGGGUGGUAGCCAACACGAGAGGCAGCGAAGCCUGUUCAAACUUGUAUUUAUUUUCUAAGAGGUCGGGAUGAGGGCAUGGGGAUGGGGAUGCAUAACUUGGGUUUCGGGAGGAGCCACAGACCUUGGGGAGAAGGAUGGAGCCUCCUGCCCUCAGUCGUGCUGCUAGUAGGGGUGAUUCAGGGUGUGCUCCAUGAUGGUCCGAAGCGCCAUCCACGUCUCCUGGGCCGUGGGGAUGAUCUGUGUGGCCGGCAGCAGGAAGCCAUACUGCCCAGUGUCCCGGAGCUCAAAGCUGAAGGCGUACUUGAUGCCACUGUCAUAGGCCCAGUCGACGGUGAUCCCACUGGCCACAUCUAGAAACAAAAGUUCCAAAAUGUGCCCCACAAAAGGAAGAAGGGGAUGUGGCUGCAAGGUACAGAGGCAUCCUGGGUGGAAAGUGAGCCCUGGGAGCCAAACCCCCACCCACCCCAGGCCACACCAGGCUUCCUGCCCAGGCCUCAAACAGGAUCACAUCUGUGCACCCAGCCCAUUCUCUACUCCUGCAAAAAGAAAGCUCCUGCAGGCUACUAGGCUUAGGAACCUUGCAGUAAGCCAGGCACUGGGAGCUGUGCACAAAAGCUGCCAAGAAACAGCUCCCUGGGUACCACUGUUCACCCUUCUAUCCAGUGUGGGAGGCAGCUUUGGGCCAGCACAGCUAGAUCCUUGGCACUGCCCUGCAGCCAGCCCCAGGUAGAUGUGGUGUCUGAAGCAGGGCCAGGGGAGGCUCACUCACAGAGGGUGGUGCUGAUGCUGCCAAAAAUGUACUCGAUCCCAUGGACCUUAUACAAGGCCUCCACCGCAUCCUUGGCAAGAUCGUACUGCAAGAUGACAUUGGCGGGGUGAAAGGCAGGGGCUCCCCGGGGCUCCCACACACUCCCCCACCCUCACCAGCUGGUGAGAAGCAUGGAUUUAGCAGUCCUGGAAGUUGAAGGUGGAGAUGGCCCUUGUGAGAAGGGAGCACAGCAUUUCCAGCUUUGAACUUGAUCACACGUGAGAACAGCAAGCUCCCCCUACCCCACCCCCGCACCAUGGGGUCAAUCAGCCCAGACCCCUGCAUUCAGAGUAACAACCUGAGCCCUCUGGGAGUAUGACAGAUAUGGAUUUUCCUGUGAAGCGGUCUCUUCUCCCCAGGCCCUAAGCAGCCAGUCUCACCAACUCCCUCUGAUUUGAAACGGGCUCCAGCAAUCGGCCGUAAGGGUACAUAAGCAUCUGAGAGUAGCUGUGGAUGGAGAUCAGAGCCUUGAAGUUGCCAUGGGCUGUGAUGAAGUUCACUAUGGCAGCCACCUCCGGCUCCGACUGAGGGGAGGGCCCGUGAUAAGUUUCUGAGCAGGGGUUGCUGUUAGAACCAUUUCCUGGAAGUAAAAUAAAGCCACCC